Molecule: unclassified non-coding RNA, 236 nt
Filed under: Hevea brasiliensis (rubber tree)
Lineage: Eukaryota; Viridiplantae; Streptophyta; Magnoliopsida; Malpighiales; Euphorbiaceae
Source: RNAcentral
GGAGGAGAACUUGAAGAAUUUCGAAAUUAUAUAUAGCGGGACUCCUCUAGGGUUUUGUUUCAUCUUCAGCUUCUUCUCUGAUAACUGUUUUCUCUUUUUUAUUAUAUUUAUUUUGGCAGAGACAAGAAAGAAUGACAAGACCACGAUGUUACUUGGACAUAAGCAUAGGAGGAGAACUUGAAGGAAGAAUUGUUGUGGAACUUUACAAUGAUGUUGUUCCUAAAACUGCUGAGAAU